RNAcentral lists this ribosomal RNA (414 nucleotides) under uncultured bacterium. RNAcentral's name for it is "bacterial SSU rRNA". It matches the Rfam family "Bacterial small subunit ribosomal RNA", at positions 362 to 776 of the family's 1533-position model. The record is from RNAcentral.
UCUUGCGCAAUGGCCGAAAGGCUGACGCAGCGACGCCGCGUGUGGGAUGACGCCUUUCGGGGUGUAAACCACUGUUGCCCGGGACGAAUUGCUCUUUUCGAGGAGCUUGACGGUACCGGGUGAGGAAGCACCGGCUAACUCCGUGCCAGCAGCCGCGGUAAUUCGGAGGGUGCGAGCGUUGUCCGGAAUCACUGGGCGUAAAGGGCGCGUAGGCGGUCGAGGAAGUCCGUGGUGAAAGCUCGUGGCUCAACUGCGAGUCGGCCAAGGAUACUCCUGGACUGGAGCACUGUAGAGGCAGGUGGAAUUCCGGGUGUAGCGGUGGAAUGCGUAGAGAUCCGGAAGAACACCGGUGGCGAAGGCGGCCUGCUGGGCAGUAGCUGACGCUGAGGCGCGACAGCGUGGGGAGCAAACAGG